RNAcentral lists this ribosomal RNA (301 nucleotides) under uncultured bacterium. RNAcentral describes it as "partial 16S ribosomal RNA". It matches the Rfam family "Bacterial small subunit ribosomal RNA", at positions 509 to 807 of the family's 1533-position model. The record is from RNAcentral.
CAGCAGCCGCGGGAAUACGUAGGGUGCAAGCGUUAAUCGGAAUUACUGGGCGUAAAGCGUGCGCAGGCGGUUCGCUAAGACAGGUGUGAAAUCCCCGGGCUUAACCUGGGAACUGCGCUUGUGACUGCACAGCUAGAGUAUGGCAGAGGGGGGUGGAAUUCCACGUGUAGCAGUGAAAUGCGUAGAGAUGUGGAGGAACACCGAUGGCGAAGGCAGCCCCCUGGGCCAAUACUGACACUCAUGCACGAAAGCGUGGGGAGCAAACAGGAUUAGAUACCCCGGUAGUCCCUGUCUCUUAUAC